UAUUAACGCUGGCGGCAUGCCUAAUACAUGCAAGUCGAAUGGUAGCAAUACCAUGGCGAACGGGUGAGUAACACGUAGGUAAUCUACCCUUAAGUCGAGGAUAACCGUUGGAAACGGCGGAUAAUACUGGAUAGGACGUCAAAAGUCGCAUGACUAGACGUUUAAAGGUUAACUGCCUAAGGAGGAGCCUGCGGCGCAUUAGCUAGUUGGUGAGGUAACGGCCCACCAAGGCGAUGAUGCGUAGCCGGACUGAGAGGUUGACCGGCCACAUUGGGACUGAGACACGGCCCAG
This 292-nucleotide ribosomal RNA is filed under the name uncultured bacterium. RNAcentral describes it as "partial 16S ribosomal RNA". It matches the Rfam family "Bacterial small subunit ribosomal RNA", at positions 29 to 334 of the family's 1533-position model. The record is from RNAcentral.